GACGAACGCUGGCGGCGUGCUUAACACAUGCAAGUCGAACGAAGAGCGAUGGAAGCUUGCUUCUAUCAAUCUUAGUGGCGAACGGGUGAGUAACGCGUAAUCAACCUGCCCUUCAGAGGGGGACAACAGUUGGAAACGACUGCUAAUACCGCAUACGAUCUAAUCUCGGCAUCGAGGAUAGAUGAAAGGUGGCCUCUACAUGUAAGCUAUCACUGAAGGAGGGGAUUGCGUCUGAUUAGCUAGUUGGAGGGGUAACGGCCCACCAAGGCGAUGAUCAGUAGCCGGUCUGAGAGGAUGAACGGCCACAUUGGGACUGAGACACGGCCCAGACUCCUACGGGAGGCAGCAGUGGGGAAUCUUCCGCAAUGGACGAAAGUCUGACGGAGCAACGCCGCGUGAGUGAUGACGGCCUUCGGGUUGUAAAGCUCUGUUAAUCGGGACGAAAGGCCUUCUUGCGAACAGUUAGAAGGAUAGACG
This 477-nucleotide ribosomal RNA is filed under the name Veillonella parvula. Its description in RNAcentral is "bacterial SSU rRNA". It matches the Rfam family "Bacterial small subunit ribosomal RNA", at positions 28 to 474 of the family's 1533-position model. The record is from RNAcentral. Lineage: Bacteria; Bacillati; Bacillota; Negativicutes; Veillonellales; Veillonellaceae.